UACAGAGGUCCCAAGCGUUGUUCGGAUUUACUGGGCGUAAAGGGUGCGUAGGCGGUUGGGUAAGUCUGACGUGAAAUCUCCGGGCCUAACCCGGAAACUGCGUUGGAUACUAUUUGACUAGAGGAAUGGAGGGGAGACUGGAGUACUUGGUGUAGCAGUGAACUGCGUAGAUAUCAAGUGGAACACCAGUGGCGAAUGCGAGUCUCUGGCCAUUUCCUGACGCUGAGGCACGAAAGCCAGGGGAGCAAACGGU
This 253-nucleotide ribosomal RNA is filed under the name uncultured bacterium. RNAcentral describes it as "partial 16S ribosomal RNA". It matches the Rfam family "Bacterial small subunit ribosomal RNA", at positions 524 to 776 of the family's 1533-position model. The record is from RNAcentral.